GUCCCUGUAGCGCAAUAGGUAGCGUGUUGGACUUCUAAUCCAAAUGUCGUGGGUUCAAAUCCUACCUGGGAUG
Molecule: transfer RNA, 73 nt
Filed under: Trichonephila inaurata madagascariensis
Lineage: Eukaryota; Metazoa; Arthropoda; Arachnida; Araneae; Nephilidae
Rfam family: tRNA
About the family: Transfer RNA (tRNA) molecules are approximately 80 nucleotides in length. Their secondary structure includes four short double-helical elements and three loops (D, anti-codon, and T loops). Further hydrogen bonds mediate the characteristic L-shaped molecular structure. tRNAs have two regions of fundamental functional importance: the anti-codon, which is responsible for specific mRNA codon recognition, and the 3' end, to which the tRNAs corresponding amino acid is attached (by aminoacyl-tRNA synthetases). tRNAs cope with the degeneracy of the genetic code in two manners: having more than one tRNA (with a specific anti-codon) for a particular amino acid; and 'wobble' base-pairing, i.e. permitting non-standard base-pairing at the 3rd anti-codon position.
Source: Rfam by way of RNAcentral